RNAcentral lists this ribosomal RNA (424 nucleotides) under uncultured bacterium. RNAcentral describes it as "bacterial SSU rRNA". It matches the Rfam family "Bacterial small subunit ribosomal RNA", at positions 355 to 776 of the family's 1533-position model. The record is from RNAcentral.
UGAGGAAUAUUGGUCAAUGGUCGCAAGACUGAACCAGCCAUGCCGCGUGCAGGAUGAAGGCGCUAUGCGUUGUAAACUGCUUUUCUCAGGGAAUAAACCCUUCUACGUGUAGAGGGCUGAAGGUACCUGAGGAAUAAGGACCGGCUAACUUCGUGCCAGCAGCCGCGGUAAUACGAAGGGUCCAAGCGUUAUCCGGAUUCAUUGGGUUUAAAGGGUGCGCAGGCGGGGCCUUAAGUCAGUGGUGAAAUCUCUUCGCUCAACGAAGAAACUGCCAUUGAUACUGAGGUUCUUGAAUGUAGUUGACGUUAGUGGAAUGUGUCAUGUAGCGGUGAAAUGCAUAGAUAUGACACAGAACACCGAUCGCGAAGGCAGCUAACGAAGCUAUUAUUGACGCUCAGGCACGACAGCAUGGGGAGCAAACAGG